Molecule: non-coding RNA, 273 nt
Organism: Pelobates cultripes (western spadefoot toad)
Lineage: Eukaryota; Metazoa; Chordata; Amphibia; Anura; Pelobatidae
Source: the annotation of a GenBank genome assembly
CUUAGAUAUUGGUGUUGCUAUGCUGCCUAGGACCAGCGCUGGUACGGUGGGGCGCUUGCUUCAGAGUGGGCUGCAGGGCAAAGCUGCUCACCGGGGACGGUAUCACCUCCACUAUUACUGGUGUGUCGACAGGCUUAAGAAUCGGUGAUGUCCGUUCACGUGGUGUCUGUUGCCGCUGGUGCGGUGUAUGCCGCUUUACUCUCCGCCAUUUUGGUGCUUUCCUAACUACUGGAGCCCCGGGCUGCCGCUGGGCGAGAAUCCGCCUGAGAGGUG